This 72-nucleotide transfer RNA is filed under the name Sordaria sp. MPI-SDFR-AT-0083. RNAcentral describes it as "tRNA-Arg". The record is from RNAcentral. Lineage: Eukaryota; Fungi; Ascomycota; Sordariomycetes; Sordariales; Sordariaceae.
GGUCCGCUGGCUCAAUGGCAGAGCGUCUGACUACGAAUCAGGGGUCGAACCUGGAACCUCCUGGGUGGAUCG